UACGAAGGGGGCUAGCGUUGCUCGGAAUCACUGGGCGUAAAGGGCGCGUAGGCGGACUUUUAAGUCGGAGGUGAAAGCCUGGGGCUCAACCCCAGAAUUGCCUUCGAUACUGAAAGUCUUGAGACCGGUAGAGGUGAGUGGAACUGCGAGUGUAGAGGUGAAAUUCGUAGAUAUUCGCAAGAACACCAGUGGCGAAGGCGGCUCACUGGACCGGAUCUGACGCUGAGGCGCGAAAGCGUGGGGAGCAAACAGGAUUAGAUACCCUGGUAGUCCACGCCGUAAACGAUGGAUGCUAGCCGUUGGCGAGCUUGCUCGUCAGUGGCGCAGCUAACGCUUUAAGCAUCCCGCCUGGGGAGUACGGUCGCAAGAUUAAA
Molecule: ribosomal RNA, 374 nt
Filed under: uncultured bacterium
Lineage: Bacteria
Description: bacterial SSU rRNA
Rfam family: Bacterial small subunit ribosomal RNA
Source: RNAcentral